RNAcentral lists this ribosomal RNA (497 nucleotides) under uncultured bacterium. RNAcentral's name for it is "partial 16S ribosomal RNA". It matches the Rfam family "Bacterial small subunit ribosomal RNA", at positions 28 to 507 of the family's 1533-position model. The record is from RNAcentral.
GAUGAACGCUGGCGGCGUGCCUAAUACAUGCAAGUCGAGCGAACGGACGAGAAGCUUGCUUCUCUGAUGUUAGCGGCGGACGGGUGAGUAACACGUGGAUAACCUACCUAUAAGACUGGGAUAACUUCGGGAAACCGGAGCUAAUACCGGAUAAUAUUUUGAACCGCAUGGUUCAAAAGUGAAAGACGGUCUUGCUGUCACUUAUAGAUGGAUCCGCGCUGCAUUAGCUAGUUGGUAAGGUAACGGCUUACCAAGGCAACGAUGCAUAGCCGACCUGAGAGGGGGAUAGGCCACACUGGAACGGAGGCACGGUCCAGGCUCCUACGGGAGGCAGCAGUAGGGAAUCUUCCGCAAUGGGCGAAAGCCUGACGGAGCAACGCCGCGUGAGUUAUGAAAGUCUUCGGAUCGUAAAACUCUGUUAUUAGGGAAGAACAUAUGUGUAAGUAACUGUGCACAUCUUGACGGUACCUAAUCAGAAAGCCACGGCUAACUACGUG